Molecule: long non-coding RNA, 543 nt
Organism: Schistocerca nitens (vagrant locust)
Lineage: Eukaryota; Metazoa; Arthropoda; Insecta; Orthoptera; Acrididae
Exons: 3
Source: RefSeq, a predicted model, not a curated record
UCCCUGCAAGAUGUGUGUGACCUACAUUGGGCAGAGCUUGUUGCCGUCAGUGACAGACAACUCGCCAUGGUGCUUAUUGGUUCUAUGAGGUGUGUAACAUAAGCGGCAGUAGAAAAUUGCACUGGCUGCUGCCUGCAUCACUGUUCAUUUGUGCAUCAGCGUAAUGGACCGGUUGCUACGUGAUGGGUGGAUGAGGAGUUUUAAAUCUGGCACUAUUUCAUGUGGAUCAAUAUUGAGAAGUGGCAGCAGUGUUCACCACGUCUUUCCGUACGGCACAAAUACCUUAUCGUGUGGACCUGUCACAGCUCGCAGUCGUCUGAGGUUACCGGGAGGCGAAGAUGCAGUACACGGCGUACAGGAGGCGCCCUUUGAUAAGUUACUAGUCAAAGAUUUGCAUUCGUGCAGUUCUUCUUAUUGUAAUGCACAAUUUCAGAUAAAAAAUUUGUGGUUUUUGAAAAAUUUGCAGAAUAUUUGUGUGAACUUGGUAGAUUAUGUUUGAGGAAAUGCUGAUAUCGAUUCAGCUGAGGCAGUAAAUUUAGGGAA